This 462-nucleotide ribosomal RNA is filed under the name uncultured bacterium. RNAcentral describes it as "partial 16S ribosomal RNA". It matches the Rfam family "Bacterial small subunit ribosomal RNA", at positions 28 to 507 of the family's 1533-position model. The record is from RNAcentral.
GACGAACGCUGGCGGCGUGCUUAACACAUGCAAGUCGAGCGGAAAGGCCCUUCGGGGUACUCGAGCGGCGAACGGGUGAGUAACACGUGAGUAACCUGCCCUAGGCUUUGGGAUAACCCCGGGAAACCGGGGCUAAUACCGUAUAUGACCUGGUGCCGCGUGGUGUUGGGUGGCAAGUUUUUUCGGCCUGGGAUGGGCUCGCGGCCUAUCAGCUUGUUGGUGGGGUGAUGGCUUACCAAGGCGAUGACGGGUAGCCGGCCUGAGAGGGCGACCGGCCACACUGGGACUGAGACACGGCCCAGACUCCUACGGGAGGCAGCAGUGGGGAAUAUUGCACAAUGGGCGGAAGCCUGAUGCAGCGACGCCGUGUGAGGGAUGAAGGCCUUCGGGUUGUAAACCUCUUUCAGCAGGGACGAAGCGUGAGUGACGGUACCUGCAGAAGAAGCGCCGGCCAACUACGUG